GGCCCUUGGCUCUAGGCCUUUGGCAGGAGGCCUUUGUUGAUGGAGAAUUUUAAAACAUUCUGGAGGGUAUGGUUACACUUAUCACUGCCCUUUCUCUCCUCUCCUGCCUGCUGGGCCCUCCUUCUUCCUCCUUUAAAUAGAGAUUAGUGUUAUGGUUCUAAAGUAGUACAAGCUUUUCAGUGGAUAGUUUAAUGUGAAAACUAACAUGUAUCUUGGUUGAUUUCAGGUUGUUUUUUGAGCCAGUAACAACCCCUUGCGGACAUUCGUUCUGUAAGAAUUGUCUUGAGCGUUGUUUAGAUCAUGCACCAUAUUGUCCUCUUUGCAAAGAAAGCUUAAAAGAGUAUCUAGCAGAUAGGAGGUACUGUGUCACACAGCUGUUGGAAGAAUUAAUAGUGAAGUAUCUGCCUGAUGAACUGUCUGAGAGAAAAAAAAUAUAUGAUGAAGAAACUGCUGAACUCUCACACUUGACCAAGAAUGUUCCAAUAUUUGUUUGCACUAUGGCCUACCCCACUGUGCCUUGCCCUCUCCAUGUAUUUGAGCCAAGAUACAGAUUGAUGAUUCGAAGAAGUAUACAGACUGGAACCAAACAGUUUGGCAUGUGUGUCAGUGAUACACAAAAUAG
This 622-nucleotide long non-coding RNA is filed under the name Homo sapiens (human). RNAcentral's name for it is "non-protein coding lnc-FAM86B2-7:1". Lineage: Eukaryota; Metazoa; Chordata; Mammalia; Primates; Hominidae. The record is from RNAcentral.